Molecule: long non-coding RNA, 1176 nt
Organism: Homo sapiens (human)
Lineage: Eukaryota; Metazoa; Chordata; Mammalia; Primates; Hominidae
Product: long intergenic non-protein coding RNA 1865
Source: Ensembl
ACAUUUAUAUGAUGGGACGAACAUCAGAGCCCGCAGCUCUCGGCCCUGCUGGUGGCAGAGGCUUUGUACUGUGUGACAAUGACCUGGAUAUGGAAGCAGAAGGGAGCUUCUAAGGACCGGAAGCUGAGAGUCUGUCUCCUGUCCCGGCCCGGACACUGGGGUUCAGGCUGUGGAAAAAUCAGUUGACACGAGUUAGAUGUGCGACAUGGACUGCUACUGUGCACGCAGAGACGGAGGAGCUCAGAGGAACAGUGCGUUUAUUCUGCAUAAGCAGAGGUCACAGCAGCCGCCUAUGUGGCCUCUUUUAUAACAGCCCUGAAGAGGCCAGGCAUGCUGGCUCGGGCCUGUAAUCCCAGCACUUUGGGAGGCCGAGGUGGGCAGAUCAUCUGAGGUGAGGAGUUCGAGACAAGCCUGGCCAACAUGGUGAAACCCCAUCCCUACUAAAAAUACAAAAAUUAGCUGGGCGUGGUGGCAGACACCUGUAGUUCCAGCUACUCAGGAGGCUGAGGCAGGAGAAUCACUUGAACCUGGGAGGCAGAGGUUGCAGUGAGCCAAGAUCACGCCACUGCACUCCAGCCUGGGGGACAGAGUGAGACUCUGUCUCAAACAAACAAACAAACAACAACAAAAAAAACCAGCCCUGAAGAAAGAAGACUUGGGGUUUACAGAGCAGAGGACUUUCAACGCAAGGAUGCCCUGUGUCAGUGUGCAGAGGCUCAGAAGCACUGCUCUUUUGAAGAAAAGUGUGCUGGACCUUCUCUUGCGUGGUUAGUUGUAAAACUUGAUGCUUCUGCAGGCAGAUGAUGGCAGAAAGCUCCCACCCCACCACGCUGAUGACGGCAGAAAGCUCCCGCCCCACCACGCUGAUGACGGCAGAAAGCUCCCGCCCCACCACGCUGAUGAUGGCACUCUCGUUGGGUGGUUGUGUGGUCUUCAUACAAUUUCAGGGUAAAUCGCCACUUGAUGUCAUUGCUAAAUGGGAUACCUGAGCUAUGAUGAUUUUGCCUGAUUGUUAAAGUUAGUAUUUUAAGACCAAAGAUGGACAAAAUACGUUAAAAUUGUCUGUAAAAAGGCACAUUUCUGAAUUUGCUUUUAAUACUUUAAAAGAUAUAAAGCUGUUGUAUUAUAACAGGAAGGAUUGCUACAAGAACAGAUCUGUCAGAAAACAAAACCGCA